This 298-nucleotide ribosomal RNA is filed under the name uncultured Staphylococcus sp. Its description in RNAcentral is "partial 16S ribosomal RNA". It matches the Rfam family "Bacterial small subunit ribosomal RNA", at positions 505 to 802 of the family's 1533-position model. The record is from RNAcentral. Lineage: Bacteria; Bacillati; Bacillota; Bacilli; Caryophanales; Staphylococcaceae.
GUGCCAGCCGCCGCGGUAAUACGUAGGUGGCAAGCGUUAUCCGGAAUUAUUGGGCGUAAAGCGCGCGUAGGCGGUUUUUUAAGUCUGAUGUGAAAGCCCACGGCUCAACCGUGGAGGGUCAUUGGAAACUGGAAAACUUGAGUGCAGAAGAGGAAAGUGGAAUUCCAUGUGUAGCGGUGAAAUGCGCAGAGAUAUGGAGGAACACCAGUGGCGAAGGCGACUUUCUGGUCUGUAACUGACGCUGAUGUGCGAAAGCGUGGGGAUCAAACAGGAUUAGAUACCCUGGUAGUCAAGGGCG